GUGUGUGUGUGUAUACAUUUCACACCCUCAAAAAUAGAAAUUAUCUUGGUGCAUUUACGCAAGUUUUAAUGCUAUUAGUUCCAUCUUAAAAUCCCAGCCCCGUCUGCGUCUCCGUCUCCGUCUCCGUGUCUCUCUCUCUCUCUGUAGCUGUCCCCUUCCCCAUCUCCUUUGGCGAUUGCCUGACAUUUGAAGUGAACCAAUUGUCUGUUUCUCUGGCUGGCUGUGUGUCCUUUGCCUUUGCCCUUGCCUUUUAUUUCCAUUCUAUUUUCUAUACUAUACUUCCAUUUCUAUAUUGUUGCAGCCUUAUACAUAUACAUAGAUAUACAUACAUAUACAUAUACAUAUAUAUAUGUAUUGUACGCGUCGCGUUGCACUCAACGUAGAUGCCCUGGACGCAAUUUUGUUGGUAAUAAAUCACCUAAAGUCGACAUUAAAUCUUUCUCUUUUCUUCGUUUUCUUUUAUUUUCUGUUUUCCUGCCACUCUCCUGCUCCGUUUGCUUUCAUUUCGUUGUUGCUCUUUCUUCGCACUGACUUUCACACAAGCCGGCGACAAUCCGGGCACAUUGCACAUGUCUUUCGAUUACCGAGUAGGUCUGAGGGUCGGAGGGGAAGGCUAUGCUUAGUUAUAUCCAUUCAGGACGAUCUAUAGAUAUUAUGUAAAUCUGUAAAAAUAAACACAUUUCCACAGCUUGGGGUGAAUCCAAAUUUGAGACUGAAACAGUCGCGGUCGGGGCCAGCCAGCCAGCCAGCCAAAAAUUAUCAAUUUCAAUAGGCCACAUUCAGUUGGACUAGCCAAGCAGAAAAUACUGAAUUUCCGCAGGCAGCCAUGGCAACAGCAAAUGGCAAACGGCAGCACAUUAACACUUUACAAACAAUGGCCAAAGUGGCAUCCAUCAAAUGCAGCAGCCAGCAGCUAGCAGCCAUGAGGCAGCCACCCCACAUGAUCCAUGGAGCCGCAUUGAGGCAAGCCGAGCCAAGGCGAGGCGGGCUGCAGCCACUGGCCUUGCUUCUGGCUGUCACAGAUCUCUACAACAACAGCCUGGCCUGGCUGGCACAGCACUGCAGCUCCUUGGCCCCGGACCCGGACCCAGCCCCCUCUCCUAUCCCUGCAUUUGAAUCAAAGUGCCAGCAACAAAAACAACAAACAAUUUCGCGCUUGAAAGGCUAAAUAAAAGAGGCAGCAAACAGAA
Drosophila navojoa is the source of this 1190-nucleotide long non-coding RNA. Lineage: Eukaryota; Metazoa; Arthropoda; Insecta; Diptera; Drosophilidae. The record is from RefSeq and is a predicted model, not a curated record.